Trichonephila inaurata madagascariensis is the source of this 73-nucleotide non-coding RNA. NCBI's taxonomy places the organism in Eukaryota, Metazoa, Arthropoda, Arachnida, Araneae, Nephilidae. The record is from the annotation of a GenBank genome assembly.
GUCCCUGUCACGCAAUACAUAGCGCGUUGGACUUCUAAUCCAAAGAUCAUGGGUUUCGAAUCCACCUGGAAUG